RNAcentral lists this transfer RNA (95 nucleotides) under Bradyrhizobium elkanii. RNAcentral's name for it is "tRNA-OTHER". Lineage: Bacteria; Pseudomonadati; Pseudomonadota; Alphaproteobacteria; Hyphomicrobiales; Nitrobacteraceae. The record is from RNAcentral.
GCGGUGACCGGUUCGCAACGGCGGCAGCGGUGGGUCUGAUCAACCUUUCUGCGUCGCUCGCCAAGACGGCGGUUCGAUUCCGCCGCGCCGCUCCA